This 442-nucleotide ribosomal RNA is filed under the name uncultured bacterium. RNAcentral's name for it is "partial 16S ribosomal RNA". It matches the Rfam family "Bacterial small subunit ribosomal RNA", at positions 338 to 795 of the family's 1533-position model. The record is from RNAcentral.
CCUACGGGAGGCUGCAGUAGGGAAUCUUUCACAAUGGGCGAAAGCCUGAUGGAGCAACGCCGCGUGCAGGAUGAAGGCCUUCGGGUUGUAAACUGCUUUUAUAAGCGAGAAAUAUGAUGGUAACUUAUGAAUAAGGAUCGGCUAACUACGUGCCAGCAGCCGCGGUCAUACGUAGGAUCCGAGCAUUAUCCGGAGUUACGGGGUGUAAAGGGUUGCGUAGGUGGCAUAUGAAGUAGCUAGUGAAAUCUGGUGGCUCAACCAUUCAGACUAUUAGCUAAACUGUUAAGCUAGAGACCGUUAGGGGUAACUGGAAUUUCUAGUGUAGGAGUGAAAUCCGUAGAUAUUAGAAGGAACACCAAUGGCGUAGGCAGGUUACUGGGACGGUUCUGACACUAAGGCACGAAAGCGUAGGGAGCAAACGGGAUUAGAUACCCUUGUAGUC